RNAcentral lists this ribosomal RNA (477 nucleotides) under uncultured bacterium. Its description in RNAcentral is "bacterial SSU rRNA". It matches the Rfam family "Bacterial small subunit ribosomal RNA", at positions 328 to 793 of the family's 1533-position model. The record is from RNAcentral.
UCAGUCGACUCCUACGGGGAGGCAGCAGUGGGGAAUAGUUGCACAAUGGGGGAAACCCUGAUGCAGCCAUGCCGCGUGUGUGAAGAAGGCCUUCGGGUUGUAAAGCACUUUCAGUUGUGAGGAAAAGUUGGUAGUUAAUACCUGCCAGCCGUGACGUUAACAACAGAAGAAGCACCGGCUAACUCCGUGCCAGCAGCCGCGGUAAUACGGAGGGUGCGAGCGUUAAUCGGAAUUACUGGGCGUAAAGCGCACGCAGGCGGUUUGUUAAGCUAGAUGUGAAAGACCCCGGGGCUCAACCUGGGAUGGUCAUUUAGAACUGGCAGACUAGAGUCUUGGAGAGGGGAGUGGAAUUCCAGGUGUAGCGGUGAAAUGCGUAGAUAUCUGGAGGAACAUCAGUGGCGAAGGCGACUCCCUGGCCAAAGACUGACGCUCAUGUGCGAAAGUGUGGGUAGCGAACAGGAUUAGAUACCCUGGUAG